This is a non-coding RNA of Anas platyrhynchos (mallard), 5131 nucleotides long. Lineage: Eukaryota; Metazoa; Chordata; Aves; Anseriformes; Anatidae. The record is from RefSeq and is a predicted model, not a curated record.
ACAGGCAGCCGUGGGGACCCCCGACGGACCCCCGACGGACCCGGGGAGCCUGCCGUGACGGGCUGGGUGCCUCCCCGGGGCCCCCGACUGACCCUGCUGCUGCCGUCGGGCUACGCUGGGUAGACGUGGCGGCCGAAGUGUUUUCACACCUCCCCAGCUUAAAAGAACCAUCAGGACCCUCUAUGCACCUGGAAAUGCCCAGGGAGAGCCACCAAGGAAGUGUUUUGGGAGCCUCUUCCCUGCAGGAGGCUGCACUUGCUGAGGGCCCCAAGCACAUUGAAUUAUAGCUGUGAGGGCAUAGGGAACACUGCUGUGGAAGAGGAAGACUUACUUUAGAUAAGUAAGUAUGGAAACUUACAUUCAGGUAAGUACAGUUCUUUUGAGGUAAGUAGGGGUUGAAGCUGCCCUCAGCAGGAGAAGAGAACUGAACUCAAGCUGAGAAAGUCCUGGACAAGAGCUUUCUGAUCAAACUGUUUGCCCACAGGCCCAUGCGUGUAACAGGAAGGGAUGCCACCACAACCAUGGCAGAUGACUGUUUUAAAGGCUGGUGGGAGGCACUGCACCACUGGUGGAGCUUGAUGCUGUCACUGUGUCCUGGACUCGCUUUUGGAGCUUCUGAUGGAUGCAGUGUAUGGGCAGAUAAAUGAACAUUGAUCCAUCUUGGGAUUCCAGCUGGACUUAGAAAUGGCUUAGCCUGUUCCAUACCGAGGCACUUCUGGGAGUCAACAUAGUGAACUUUAAAGUAAAAACCUGUGAUGAGCUCAGAUGCGAUUGUAGAUGGCAGGAAAGUGUUUCAGAGCCAUGUUUUUACUUUGCUUUGUAAGCUCUGUUUUAUCCCACUAAUGGUCUGUAUUGGAUCUGGCAUAGAUCUGGCAGACUUGGAGGCUGGAUCUUUCAGUUUACCUAUAAAACCCAUGGUACCUGAGCAGCAGUUUCCCUGCCAAGCUGCACCAUCUUGACCUCAAGGCAGAACUCCCAUUUAGUUCCCGUUACUCAUCUUUGAGGUUUUCUUUCCCAUGAAAAAACUAGCACUUGCCUGUGGGCGGGGAGAAGGAAACCGGCUAGGAAUUAGGAACUGGGUAGAAGUUUCAGUCUGAAAUCACCCAUUCACUUCAUUUUCAAUCCUUAACAGCAAUUACUGUAUCAAGCUUCAGUUUCCUUCAAUGUGGCUGUAAAGCAUCAUCAAUAGGACAUUAAAAGAAGAUCUCCAGACAACUUCUAAGCCAUUUUGCCCCUUGAUGUGAAACAGAUGUUAUGCUAACAAUAUAGCUAAGCUGGAACGCUAUGAAUUUCAUCCAUCUUUUGCUUUGAGAUAGUUGACGUGUUGCCAUUUCUUCCUGACUUAAAACCAGAGGGUUCAACUCUGAUGCUGUAAACUUACACCUAGCAUCUCUUCCAGGAGAAAAAUGUUCUCUUGCUGACAGUGAGUUAAACAGAGGGCAAAUCCAUAUGGAUCAAAGGAAAUUUUAUUAUCUAAGACCAGGCACAGAGGGUAGCAUACUUGUGUUCUCCUCCCAUAAUAGGUACCAGAGAGAUUAAGAAAAAUCAAGAGAACUCUGUUUUCAGUUUCUACAAGCAAUUACAAAACUCUUUUUGAUACCUUGGCAUGGUGACUAGGAGAAGCAGAGAUAACAUACAGGGAACUUCACUCCUGCCAGUGGAUUAGGUCCAAGUCAGUUUUUAAUGCCUGAAAAAUCCUGCUCUUUGGCUUGCAUGUCCCUCUCAGUUCAUCCUGUGAGUAAUCAUGAAUCCUUUCUGAAGAUCUGAGGCAAGAGGGUGUUUUUCCCCGCCCUCCUUGUGGGAUGCUGAAGGGCUGUCAGAUUCCAGGGGGAGGAAACAACAGAUUACUGAAAAGGGUGGGCCUUCAGUAGAUAGCACAGGGCACUAUAUGAAUGCCUGCUGCUGUUAUCAAUAGCUUGUCCAUUGCACCAUUUUUCUGUAACAUUUUUUACUUUGAGAACCGAAGGGUGCUUUACAGCAGGGAGUUUUGUUAUGUCCAUUUUAGGGAUGGGGAAAUGAAGUCAAAAGGAAGCCAGGCAGCAAAGGUUUAGCGGAUUCCAGGUAAGUGUCCAAGGCUCUGACAGCCUUUUGCUCUUGGUGUUAGGCACAACAGCUUCUGCUCAGGCGUAUUCCUGCUUUUGGUAGCAACCUGCAUGUAGCUUGACAUAGAGAAACAAACCUUUAUCCAUUUGCAACUGCUGUAGUUUAGGGCUAUGUUUGCUGGGAAAGCUAGGAUGUUAGAUACCAUCUUGGAAUAGGAAAGAAUGUCAUCUCCCACCUCAUUUUUCUUUCUGAGAUCUACUGUGUCCACAAGCAUUUUUCACAUGCUGUAACUAGAGCCAUGCUUUGGCCUUCACCUUGGAAACCACAGCUGCUGCAAGUAACACACACACUGGGGUGGCUUGCCUGUGGGCAGUACAACGUCCUUCACAUCAGAGAAGAAUCAUAGAAUUGUCAAGGUUCAAAAAGACCUUCAAGAUCAUCAAGUCCAAUCAUCACAUCUCCCGCAGUUCCCACUUAGCAAAAUAAUAAUAAUCCAUUCUCUCCAGAGAAUGGUGUUGUGUACAGCACACUAAAGUAGGCAGUAAAAACAGCAGCAAUGCGGAUAAAGUGAGCUGUGUUCCUCCGUGAGAUGUCUAUAUAAAUGCAGUUUAGAAAGGCAGUCAAAGAGGAUUCACUUAAUAGGGGACACGGAGAACCCCAGGUGAUUGUAUGUAACUUAUUUCUCUCCACAGUCCAACUGCAAUUACAGGUCUCACACCCCCUGCUGGCUUGUCUCCUGCCUUUAAUGAGAUCACUAAGAGAUAAGGCUGUAACUGUAUUAAAAUGAGAAAACAAUAUGUAACUAUGGAGUGAGCAAAGAUCAAGAUCCACUACAGCCAGUCAGGCUUGGCUAACUUUCUUCGUGCACUUUUUUUCCCCUCCCUCUGGCUGACGGAUACAACAUUUUGCAUUUUUGACAGCGCUUUGCAUUUUCCUGAAACCUUUCAACUAAGUCAUUCAAAUGCCGUUUGCAAAAAACAUGACAAAGAGUUCUUAAAGUCCCUUUGAAAAUUAGGCUCCCAUCCUUCGCCACUGCACAUGAAUGGUACUACCUUCAUUCAGAGCCACAACAUUGUGGGUUGCGGAGGCAAAGGGCAGAAAUAUCAGACAUUCCAGUCAUUUUGAGUGCCUCAGCGUUACGCUUACAUAAAAUUCCUAGGCACUUGGUACUUCCGUAGGUGGGAACUUUAGCUGCUCAGCCUUUCUCAAUAGUAAGUUGAAAGUGUGGUGGAGUUGGUUUGUUUUUGUUUUUCUUCUUCUCCAUUUGUUCUUUUCUGCUUUACUGAGGAGGUGGCAGAGGCUUGCCACAGUCGUGCCACAAAUCAGGUCGAAGUCUGGAAUUUAAGAGAGUUGGGGUCCUGUCUAACUGCUCGAUGAAGGGCUUUCAAUGCUGGUUGACAAUGCCCCAAAGAUGACUAGCAGGGGGAUGCUGGGACAGCAAGAAAAGCAAAUCCAUUGACAGUACAUUCAAACACGCCAUUCAAGGAUUUGCACUUCCCCAGGAAAAAAAAAAUAUUUAGUAAUCCACAAAUAAAAUGAUUUAAAACUUGUGCUCUAGGAGUUCGAGACAUUUAAAGCUGUAACCUCCUUGUGAUGCCUUGUUUUUAUAAUGAAAAAAAUACACACCAUAAUCUAUCAUUCCAUUUUUAGUUACUGACACUGUUUUUAAUUCACCCUUCUUUGCCAGUUAGCUAUCUGGGAGAUAAAGCAGCUUUGAAAUCCCCAGACUCCCUGGAACCACGCUUUGUAUCUGUCCAGGGUCUUCUGUGCACUUCACAAUUCCAAAGCAGAUAAACCAAGUGCCACCUAACUCACUGCUUCCCUGCAAAGUUUUGAGCAUUAGUGGCUCUAUGGGCAUAAUUGAAAGAGCGUAUGAUUGAGCUAAAAAUGUCUUAAUGUGCUCUUUGUUUUUCCCUUCCCAUUUGAUAGCUUCCUAUUAGAAAUUUGCAUUAGGAAAAUGUGACGUUUUCAAAGAGAACCGCCACGAGGUCAGGAUGUGCCUAAGUCCAGCCUCUGGUCUUUCCACCUGUCUGCACACACGCUGUGCUGCAGUAUUCAGAUACAACAGGCUGCUGCAUUCAGCAUUUCAGGUGAAAUGCUGCCUGAUAAAUAAGAGGGAGCAACUUUCUGUAGACCAAGGUUUAUCUUCAUCAUUCUGAUCACUGCCAAAUUAAUUUUAUCCACUCCAUUUUGUUCCCCAAAAGGUUUGCCCCAUUAAUACCUAUCCUGUACUUUGUAUUCUCGGUUUGCAGGCAUUAAGUCAAAUCUGAUCAAGAAUAAAACACUUGGCCUUGAGUUCUGUGCAAUCCUGGACCAUUUGCUGAACAUGACACAGCCGGUGCGAUCCCUGAGACCAUGGAAAGGAUUGGAUGGAGUUGCAUAAAAAGGAGGAGACGGUGCCAAUUCAAAGGCAGCUCACUUGUUACUACAUCAGAAAUUGCAGUUCUACAUUUUAAUGUUACUAUCUGUAACGGUCUCAGCUUUGGCACUUCUGUGACACCUUAAUGCUUCUUUUUACAAAAUUAAUGUUCUGAGAUUGAAAGCACUCUCCUGUAGGGCACUGGGAGGUGUUAAGGAGAGGAAAGCAAGCUGAUGGAGAUCCUCCUGGCUGGGACUUGGCUGAAGCUGCGCCUGAGCUACCCCUGGAGACCAAGGUCUGCACAGAGCUCAUCGCCUUGCCUGUUGACUGAGUGCCAAGCAAGGAUGACAGCAGGAUCCUGAGAUCUGCCUGAUGGUGCUCUGAUGGAGCUCACUGUCUUGAUCUGAUACCUGAUCUGGUCUACAAGAGCUGUGCCUCGCUCCCCCCAACGUUGUACACCCAACAGGGCUACUAAAGCUGGGUGUUCUUGGCAGUAAAAGAGAAGAUACAGCUCAAACUUAUUGAAAUAGCCUGAAUGUGCUGAGUUUCUGGGCUAGCUACUCCAUAAGCCAUCUAAUUGGCAGGGCACUUGGGGAAGACUGAGAAUAUUCUUCCCAGCACAACAAGGAUGGAUUUUCUGGAGGUGGCUGGUUCUGUUCCCGUAGAGAUGAUUACUUUAAUACAAUAAAAAACGAACAAUAUGAGUUUGGGCACCUACAGCCCUAAAUA